RNAcentral lists this ribosomal RNA (447 nucleotides) under uncultured Thermus sp. RNAcentral describes it as "bacterial SSU rRNA". It matches the Rfam family "Bacterial small subunit ribosomal RNA", at positions 939 to 1382 of the family's 1533-position model. The record is from RNAcentral. Lineage: Bacteria; Thermotogati; Deinococcota; Deinococci; Thermales; Thermaceae.
AUGUGGUUUAAUUCGAAGCAACGCGAAGAACCUUACCAGGCCUUGACAUGCUAGGGAACCCGGGUGAAAGGCCUGGGGUGCCCCGCGAGGGAGCCCUAGCACAGGUGCUGCAUGGCCGUCGUCAGCUCGUGCCGUGAGGUGUUGGGUUAAGUCCCGCAACGAGCGCAACCCCGCCGUUAGUUGCCAGCGGUUCGGCCGGGCACUCUAACGGGACUGCCCGCGAAAGUGGGAGGAAGGAGGGGACGACGUCUGGUCAGCAUGGCCCUUACGGCCUGGGCGACACACGUGCUACAAUGCCCACUACAAAGCGAUGCCACCCGGCAACGGGGAGCUAAUUGCAAAAAGGUGGGCCCAGUUCGGAUUGGGGUCUGCAACCCGACCCCAUGAAGCCGGAAUCGCUAGUAAUCGCGGAUCAGCCAUGCCGCGGUGAAUACGUUCCCGGGCCUU